RNAcentral lists this small RNA (96 nucleotides) under Arabidopsis thaliana (thale cress). RNAcentral describes it as "ATSL045290". The record is from RNAcentral. Lineage: Eukaryota; Viridiplantae; Streptophyta; Magnoliopsida; Brassicales; Brassicaceae.
UGAUAAUUCUCAAAAUUUAAGAUUGAUAAAACGGACGCGUAUCAUAAUCUCGUGAGUUACUAACUUUUGAACCCGUACUUUAUAUAAUAAGAUAAU